RNAcentral lists this long non-coding RNA (312 nucleotides) under Marmota monax (woodchuck). Lineage: Eukaryota; Metazoa; Chordata; Mammalia; Rodentia; Sciuridae. The record is from RNAcentral.
CAAAGACUCUGGACAGCAACCCGGAUUCGAGCCAUGGCUGACGGCUGACGGACGCCUCAGGCUUGGGCGCUUCUGCAGCAGUGCCUGCACGCACGACUACAAGUUCGCCCAGCUGAGGGGGACGCUGCGGCCCAGUGGGUGGAGGUUCAGAGAGGAUUAGUGAUCUAUGUGUGCUUCUUCAAGGGAGCUGAUAAAGAACUUCUUCCAAAAAUGGAUAUGAAAUAAUGGAGCUAUUCCGAAGAUUGAGGGACAGCACCCAUUAUUUGGAUUAUUAAUACACUAUUAAAUGUGAAAUUAGAUAAUAAAAAUCAA